UUGUAUUUCUUUUCUCUUUUAUAUUUAUAUGUUCCAUAUAUUAAGGAUAUUACUUGUUAGACUACCUUAUCAGAAAAUUUUGGGAUGGACAUGAGAUUUAGGUUGCAAAUCUAAGAACCAAUUGUGUUCUUUGUGGUCCCUCAGCAUCUCAAGUUUAAUAUCAUUUCAGUGAAUUCUAAUCAAAUAUGUAAUAGUCUAAACACUCAUUUAGUAGAAUAUAUUUUUUUGCAUAUGUUAUUGUAGCAAUAUAUUUCCCUCUGACAUAACUUUUCAUUUUUUUCUCUGUUUACAUUUCUAUUUCAGUAAUAGUCUAAACACUCAUUCAGUAAUAGUCUAUUCCAAGACUUGCUGGGAACAGAGAAGAUUCACAGCUCAGGUGCUUGCGAUGUCGAGUUCCCGGUUGUGCAUCCUCCUUGGAGUUAUCAUUUGUCUGGGACAUUUUCAUAUUUCACCUUUGAAGGCAUUUGCACAGCCAAACCAUCAUUAGGUUAUGAUACUCUGGUAAACAUGGAAAGCUAUGCAUGCAAUUACGUUGUUGAUGGAUUUCAAUGCAACAAGAAUACCUCGUUUCAAUUCUAAAAAUGGCGGAAGUGGUCAAUUAGGACAAACUGCACUGCUGCAAAUUCAAGCUUUGCAAUAUAAUUAAUUCAUAGCUAAAACCAGCAAGGAUUGGGAAUGUAGGAUUGAUUAAGAUGUUGAGAAAUUGUUGAGAAUCCCUUGCAAGGGUUCAUGGAUUGAAUUGAACCACGUUUGAUACAUAUGUUAGUUAUAUGAUUUAACUCAGAACUAUAAUUAUAAUACCACAUAUGUUCAACCCAGUAACAUUGUUUACCCAAACUUAAAUGAAGCAAGGGUUUAUUGUUGAGCUUUGCCAUAUUGCUUGUUUGAACAAGUUAUAUGGGUUUUGUUAGCCCGAGUUUGGUUAUCUUAUAUGAUUCUGUAUUUGGAAUAGCGUGGUUUACUGAAUAAUUGGUUUCGGUGAAGAGUGAAGACUGAAGACACAGUUUAGCUUCUGUAUUUUCCAUCCUGUGAGUCUAGCUUCUUUUACUAAACUAGGAAGAGAAUGUACUAGUUUCAAAGAUUACAAAUCGGACAGUUUGAUUGUUUUCAACAAUUCAACUGGUCUGAUGGCCCUAUGUGUAUAGACUGUUCCUCUUGUCUAUUUUCAUUCCUUUCACACAUAUGAUCAUGCAUCUCCAUCUCAUAAAUUCAAUGACCUGUGGUUUUUCCAGGGAAUACCAGCA
This is a long non-coding RNA of Rosa rugosa (rugosa rose), 1244 nucleotides long. RefSeq lists it as uncharacterized. NCBI's taxonomy places the organism in Eukaryota, Viridiplantae, Streptophyta, Magnoliopsida, Rosales, Rosaceae. The record is from RefSeq and is a predicted model, not a curated record. The transcript is spliced from 4 exons.